Leopardus geoffroyi (Geoffroy's cat) is the source of this 1031-nucleotide long non-coding RNA. RefSeq lists it as uncharacterized. The record is from RefSeq and is a predicted model, not a curated record. Lineage: Eukaryota; Metazoa; Chordata; Mammalia; Carnivora; Felidae. The transcript has 2 exons.
GGGUUGCUGAGCUCCCGGCCCCAACCUGGCACGCUCGGGGCGGCUUUAAGAGGCUCACAACUCCCCGAAUGCAGUGUCCAUAAGGCGGCCUCCCGGCUCGGUGGAGGGCGCAGGGCUUGGAUGACAGCGUCGACUAGAUUUCAACCACCACCGUCCCCUUGGAAGGAUGCCAUCGGGCGGGACACAACCUGCACAACUGUACACGGCAGGGCUCAUGGAGGCACACAGGCCAAGAUCAGCUCUGGUGAGAAUGUGGGAGUUGCGGGGACUUGGGGGGCAGGGAGAGGCCGGGGGCAUCUCGGGAAGGCCUUGGAGACAUGCAGUCUGGUUCACCACAGUGGUCACAUGCGCCUGGCAAGGCUGCAGAUCGACAGACACCCCUGCACCCGGGGGUGGGGUCCACACCCUCAUACCCAUGGGGCCACCACAGCUCAGGAACCUGUGGUCUUCACCUUGAGCUGGGACUGGACACCGUGUUGGAGACCGAAGACAGGAGAGAGCCCUGCCUUCUCCUGAAAGGGGGAAUGGGCAACCACCCAGAACAGGCGUGGGGACAAUCACGUUCCUCCCAAAGCCAACGACAGAGUCACCCUAGGAGCCAGCAACCCCACUCCUCGGCGUCCACCUGAAGGAACUGAAAACAAGCGUUCCAACAAAACCCUGCACACCCACACUCGUGGCACGUUACUCGCAACUGCCAAAAGAUGGAAACCACCCAGUGUUCAUCAACGGAGGCACAGGUGACCCAGACGUAGCGUCCCUGCAAUGGAAUGCGAGUCCUCCAUAAAAACGAUGAACUUUGAGGACAUUAUGCUGAGUGAGAGACAAGAACAAAGUCACAAGAGGAUAAGUACUGUGUGAUGCGGUUUCCAUGAGAUGUUCUUAAUGGAAAUCCAUACAGCUAGACAGAGGCUGGUCGUGCAACGUUGCGAGUGCAUGAAAUGCCACCGACUUGUGUGCACUUCAAAACGGCUAAUUUUAUGUUGCGCAUCUCAAUUAAAAAAAUGAUCAGGAAAGCAAAUGAGCAACGA